RNAcentral lists this ribosomal RNA (277 nucleotides) under uncultured bacterium. RNAcentral's name for it is "partial 16S ribosomal RNA". It matches the Rfam family "Bacterial small subunit ribosomal RNA", at positions 524 to 784 of the family's 1533-position model. The record is from RNAcentral.
UACGAGGAUGCAAGCGUUAUCCGGUAAUGAUUGGGCGUAAAGCGUCCGCAGGUGGCUAUGUAAGUCUGACCGUCGUUAAAGAGUGAGGACUCAACCUCAUAAGAGCAGUGGGAAACUACAUGGCUAGAGUGCGAUUCGGGGCAGAGGGAAUUCCUGGAUGUGAGCGGUGAAAUGCGUAGACGAGUCAAGGAAGAACACCGGUGGCGAAAGCGCUCUGGCUAAGGCCGCAACCUGACACUCAAUGGACGAAAGCUAGGGGAGCGAAUGGGAUUAGAUA